Long non-coding RNA from Chiroxiphia lanceolata (lance-tailed manakin), 1234 nucleotides. RefSeq lists it as uncharacterized. The transcript is spliced from 6 exons. The record is from RefSeq and is a predicted model, not a curated record. NCBI's taxonomy places the organism in Eukaryota, Metazoa, Chordata, Aves, Passeriformes, Pipridae.
UUGAGUGCCACUGUGUCCCUGAGGUCACUCUUUCUCCUGCUGGGAGAGCACGAGGUGGAUGGAGAGGAUCCCCAGGCAUCUGCAGGCACAAGGGACUCGUACAGCUGUGAUUUUCCUACAGCCCUUGUGAGAUGGACUUUCAGGGUACCAUGGGAGAAAAUCUGGGCAGCGGAAGGAAGCAAAGAAGCCCCGUGACUCCUCCCUGAGCCCCAGACAGCCCAGGAACUGCCUUCCUGGGAAUGGUGGGACGGGCUGGACUCUGGAUUGCUCCCUCUGGAUGUGUGUGGGAUGUAGCCUGGAAACUCUGCAGAGCUGAGCCAAGGGAUUGAAAGGGACCAAGCAAGGGAGGUGAAGAAUGAAGGAAGAAAGGAACUGAGGCAUCAGCCAAGCAGCACCAAGUUCCUGUGUAAGCAGGUAGUGCCCUGAAUUAGUUGAUUUCUGCCUGGCUCCCUGAUGUCUGAGUUUUGAGAUGUACCAAGAACUGGUAGUUUUUGCAGUGGGAUGUACCCUGGAAACUGCCUGGAGCAGAGCCAAGGAACUUAAAGGGACUAAGCAAGCAAAGUAAAGAAAGAAUGAAGAAGGGAUCUGAGGCAGCAACCAAACAGCACCAAAUUCCUCUACAACCAGGGAAUAACUCCUGUCAGCAGCAAGAUCCCGACUGAAGUGGCAGCUGCAGUUGUUCCUGUGGUGUGGGCCAGUGGAAUUGCAGGAGAGUGGAAGAGAGCAGAACCUGAGAAAAUCCAGAAACUUGUAAGGAAGCAAAGAAGCCCCGUGACUCCUCCCUGAGCCCCAGACAGCCCAUGAACUGCCUCCCUGGGAAUGGUGGGACGGGCUGGACUCUGGAUUGCUCCCUCUGGAUGUGUGGUAAGACUGUUAUGCCAACUUUUCCAAGAGCCUGUAAGAAUUUGCUGCCUUGGCUAGAUGGUGCAAGGACAGCCUUUAAGCAGCUGAAGCCUUCCCUGAGGAGAGCUCUGGGUCUGCCAGAUGUGUCAGAACUGUUGGAAGCAUCUUUGGUGGGGAGGGCAAACAAAGGCCAAGGUGUGCACUGACCCCCCUGACAAGGGACUUCCAGGUAAUGGCAUCCCUGCAAGUGAACUUUGUGGGCUGUUCCCCCUGUAGGGCAGGUGAUAGUCCCAGCUACAGUGAUGGGAAAAAUGGUUAAAAGAGAGCCGCAAAAGCUGGAAAUCCUCCUGGAGGGUCUUGGCAAAGAGAGUUUCCUGAGUUAGCUCUGACA